Molecule: ribosomal RNA, 446 nt
Filed under: uncultured bacterium
Lineage: Bacteria
Description: partial 16S ribosomal RNA
Rfam family: Bacterial small subunit ribosomal RNA
Source: RNAcentral
CCUACGGGCGGCCGCAGUCGAGAAUCAUUCACAAUGGGGGAAACCCUGAUGGUGCGACGCCGCGUGGGGGAAUGAAGGUCUUCGGAUUGUAAACCCCUGUCAUGUGGGAGCAAAUUACAACGAUAGUACCACCCGAGGAAGAGACUGCUAACUCUGUGCCAGCAGCCGCGUUAAUACAGAGGUCUCAAGCGUUGUUCGGAAUCACUGGGAGUAAAGCGUUCGUAGGCUGUUUCGUAAGUCGGGUGUGAAAGGCGCGGGCUCAACCCGCGGACGGCACAUGAUACUGCGAGACUAGAGUAAUGGAGGGGGAACCGGAAUUCGCGGUGUAGCAGUGAAAUGCGUAGAUAUCGAGAGGAACACUCGUGGCGAAGGCGGGUUCCUGGACAUUAACUGACGCUGAGGCACGAAGGCCAGGGGAGCGAAAGGGAUUAGAUACCCUUGUAGUC